This 60-nucleotide transfer RNA is filed under the name Xenophyes cascus. Its description in RNAcentral is "tRNA-Ala". The record is from RNAcentral. Lineage: Eukaryota; Metazoa; Arthropoda; Insecta; Hemiptera; Peloridiidae.
AGGGUUAUAGUUAACUAUAACAUCUAAAUUGCUAUUAGAAAGUAUCACCCAGAUUAACCU